CCUACGGGAGGCAGCAGUGGGGGAUAUUGCACAAUGGGGGAAACCCUGAUGCAGCGACGCCGCGUGAGUGAAGAAGUAUUUCGGUAUGUAAAGCUCUAUCAGCAGGGAAGAAAAUGACAGUACCUGACCAAGAAGCCCCGGCUAACUACGUGCCAGCAGCCGCGGUAAUACGUAGGAGGCAAGCGUUAUCCGGAUUUACUGGGUGUAAAGGGAGCGUAGACGGUUAUGUAAGUCUGGAGUGAAAGCCCGGGGCCCAACCCCGGGACUGCUUUGGAAACUGGGUAACUGGAGUGCAGGAGGGGUAAGCGGAAUUCCUAGUGUAGCGGGGAAAUGCGUAGAUAUUAGGAGGAACACCGGUGGCGAAGGCGGCUUACUGGACUGUAACUGACGUUGAGGCUCGAAAGCGUGGGGAGCAAACAGGAUUAGAUACCCCAGUAGUC
RNAcentral lists this ribosomal RNA (440 nucleotides) under uncultured bacterium. RNAcentral describes it as "partial 16S ribosomal RNA". It matches the Rfam family "Bacterial small subunit ribosomal RNA", at positions 338 to 795 of the family's 1533-position model. The record is from RNAcentral.